This is a non-coding RNA of Schistosoma haematobium, 45 nucleotides long. The record is from Rfam. Lineage: Eukaryota; Metazoa; Platyhelminthes; Trematoda; Strigeidida; Schistosomatidae.
AUCCAGCUGACGAGUCCCAAAUAGGAAGAAACGCGCAUCCCAUAU